This is a long non-coding RNA of Cyprinus carpio (common carp), 778 nucleotides long. RefSeq lists it as uncharacterized. Lineage: Eukaryota; Metazoa; Chordata; Actinopteri; Cypriniformes; Cyprinidae. The record is from RefSeq and is a predicted model, not a curated record.
AUUUUGAGCGAAUUUUAGUUGAUAUGACAAUGAAGAUCAAAAGCUGGAAUGUGAACAGAGGAAGGGGUCGUACGUGGUCUGUAAAUACUGGCGAUAUCAGAUCAAGCUUUGUAAUAAGAUUUUUAUCGGGGGAGAACACCCAACAGAAAGACCCAUGAUUCACCAACUGGCGCACUGAAAGGGGAGAUUCAUGUCACCUUCAUCAGUCCUUUCUUUAAUCACUGGACACCAUUAAGGGAAAGACCCUCAGACGUGUCAUAAUAGAAUAAAUGCGGCUGCAGGACAAGGCCUGGUGAGAGUCACUACAGAGGAUCAUAGCCAUUGUUGGAAUUCUGAAAGGAUGUGGGUGAAUAUCAAUCUGCCAAAUGAACAUUCACAUCUGUAUAUUAAUACUGAUUAUAUAUGAACUUGUUUGUUUGUAACUGGAAAGAACUUAGCUUCUAUUGUUUUUGACUGAAGGACUUGACCGUGUUUUAAGCCUAUGUGCAUUUUCUAUUACCAGUACCUGCUCUGGCCGUGCUCCAUUUUCCAUUGCAGAUCAUACCCAGAGAUAGUACCCCUCAAUGCUGCUGGUCAGCAUAGCAAGGCCACACACAACUGCCGCGACGUACUGUUCAAUGCGACACACACACCUGCGACCCACAUACAGCUGUCUCUUGAUUUAAGUUAAAACGUUUCAGCAUUACUCAGAAUGUAAAGACAGAUACUUAAAGGUGCUCUAAGCAAUGCCGGGAGUCGUAACUUCUUGUUGACGUUCGAAUUGUUGUCAAACAAAACA